CAAAAGUACAACCCUGAACGGUGGAUCACUCGGSUYGUGGGUCGAUUAAGAACGCAGCAAAUUGCGCGUCGACAUGUGAACUGCAGGACACAUGAACAUCGACAUUUCGAACGCACAUUGCGGUCCAUGGAUUCCGUUCCCGGACCACGCCUGGCUGAGGGUCGGUAGCUAAAA
This 174-nucleotide ribosomal RNA is filed under the name Poecilimon klisuriensis. RNAcentral describes it as "5.8S ribosomal RNA". The stretch from base 10 to 164 matches the Rfam family "5.8S ribosomal RNA". From Rfam's summary of the family: 5.8S ribosomal RNA (5.8S rRNA) is a component of the large subunit of the eukaryotic ribosome. It is transcribed by RNA polymerase I as part of the 45S precursor that also contains 18S and 28S rRNA. Functionally, it is thought that 5.8S rRNA may be involved in ribosome translocation. The record is from RNAcentral. Lineage: Eukaryota; Metazoa; Arthropoda; Insecta; Orthoptera; Tettigoniidae.